UGAUGUAGAUGAUGUGGCGGCGGCUAGCGACGCUGAUGAUGACUCUGAUGAUGACUCUGACGACGAUGCUGACACAGGUGCAGCGGCAGCCAGCGACUCUGAUGACGACUCUGAUGAUGACUCUGACGACGAUGCUGACGCAGGUGCGGCGGCAGCCAGCGACGAUGACUCAGACUCAAGCGACGAUGCUGAUGAUGCUGACGCAGCUGCGGCGGCAGCCAGCGACGAUGACUCAGACUCAAGUGACGGUGCUGAUGAUGCUGACGCAGCUGACGCAGCGACAAGUGCUUAAUAAGCUAUGAAGUCAGAAUCCCUCACGACAUCCUGCCUCUCUCCAGUUUAACGCCUGAUCUACAGCAAAACGGCUAUCAUCUUGAUUGCCAAACUAUGUACAAUAAAACCACCUGAGGCAUUGUCUUACAAUUAUGGGAUCAUGUCAUAUUGCACUCUAUGGUGUAAAACCAGUUGUCUUUUGGGGACAAUAAAAGUUGACAGUUGAAGUUGUUGUAAAAGCUUGUGACAACAUGAAAUAAAAAGGUUUGUCUCAGUUUCAGUA
This is a long non-coding RNA of Epinephelus moara (kelp grouper), 556 nucleotides long. RefSeq lists it as uncharacterized. The record is from RefSeq and is a predicted model, not a curated record. Lineage: Eukaryota; Metazoa; Chordata; Actinopteri; Perciformes; Serranidae. The transcript is spliced from 2 exons.